Long non-coding RNA from Heterocephalus glaber (naked mole-rat), 2927 nucleotides. The record is from Ensembl. Lineage: Eukaryota; Metazoa; Chordata; Mammalia; Rodentia; Bathyergidae.
UGAGGCAGGAGGAUUGCUGUGAGUUCAAAGCCAGCCUGAACUACCCUGCCUCAAAAAAAAAAAAAAAGUCUCAGUACACUACGGCAUGUGACAUACUCCCAUGUGACAGCUGCUCACCAUGGCAGGCUCAAAAAACACUGGUGAGGGAGACUUCUUUCUCUUUUCCUUGCUUGAGAAACAUGGCCCCUGUGAUGGACCCUGAAUACCUUUGAAUGAGGCCCCUUGGUUAAUUUUAUCUUCCUUGCUCAUUUUCCAGUGCUCAGCUUUUAGAGAAUAAUGCAAUCUUUUUUUUCUUCAUUAUUAGGGAUUGAACCCAGGGCCUCAUGCACACCAGACCCCUGGGACUCAGCCCCGGAAGAGAUCCCUGCACCUGUGACCAUCGGUGAGCCAUGGAACUGGGCAUCCAGACCAGACCAGACCAGACCUUCCUCCCUGGCGGAGCCGGCACUCUGGCUGGGCAGAGACAGGCCGGAAAUUCAGGAAAUGCCAAGAGCCUGCAGGAAAUGAGCCUGGUGCAGGGUUUUGGGAGGACAGGGAAGUGCAGGUGGCCUGGAUGUGGCUGGUAAGGUGAUGCCCAAGGACAGGCUCCAGGGGCAGGAGGAGCUAGGCUGGGGAGGGGAUGCCACAGGUGGAGACAGGUGCUUCACAGCCCCCAGGCUGGCACUAGUGCUUCUUACGGAAAUCACAGAAAUCAGGCCAGUGUUUCCUGAAGUGCUCCGCUCUGGAAGGCAACUGGAUGACUCAGCUUUUGAGGGAUUCUGAAAUGUCCCUUGCUGUUCUUCCCAAGGGCUUGCUGAGGGGCUUUUCGGUCCCUUUGUACUUACAUGGAAUGCUUCAACUCAGCGACAGUUCUCUCUGUCCCAUGCAGACCAGGGCGUCUCAUCUGUCUUCCUGUUAAGCCACAGGUUUCUGCAACUUGUUGAACUUUCACCUGCUCCAGAGUAGAACCGAAGGACCUCAGAGAUCAAUGAGUUCAGGCGGUCUGCACUUUGCUCAUAGAUGUCAUACACACACUGGGGCCCAAACUCACUGACACGAAGUACCUAGGGAGGGUUUAGGGAUCCUCCAGUUUUGGAUUUUAAGCAAAAGCCUCAAGUGAUUUUUAAGAUCAGAGUAUAAGAAACACGGAUAGGGCUGGGGAUUUAGCUCAGUGGCACCGAACCUACCUGGCAAGUGCAAGGUCCUGAGUUCGAUCCCCAGUUUAAAAAAAAAAAAAAAAAAAGCACUGAUAUGGUUCACACAUUUUUUUAAUUUUAAUUUUUGUAAUGGUAGCAAAGUUUUAUUAUCAAAGGUAGGAAAAGAAACAGGCUCUGCAGAGCGAGUUUGGGCCAGUAAAAGUAGGAAAAGGAGUACACCCUACAGCUUGAGGCUGGGCCACUUUGCAAGAGAGAACAGAGUGGUAGCAUAACCCAGUUUUUAAAACAUAAUUUCAGACUUAGUGAAAUGCCACAGAAUAAACUGGGUGUGAAGCAUCUCUGUAAUCCCUUCACUCUGGAAGGUUGAGGCAGGAGGAUGGAAAGUUCAAUAGCCUGAGCAAUUUAGUGACUUAGCAAACUGCGUCUCAAAAAAUUUUUUAAAAGGACUGGGGAUGUAGCUCAGUGCUAAGACCCUGGGUUCAAUCUUUAAUACAACAAAGGAAAAAAAGAAAGAAAGGAGGAGAAUGUUGCAAAACUGUACUUUUUACUCUCCUACUUUUUGAUACUUGUAACUCCUUCAAUAGUGAAAAACUUGCUCCCAUUAACUACAACAUAUUUACUUGCUCCAUCUGAGAAUAUACUGUGUGUUUUAGGAUUACCAAUGCCUGUGUGAAAAAGCCUACUAGUUAGAAUUCACUAUAUGUUUCAAAUUUCUUUUGUCUUCAGGCUGGGAGGUAUAGGGUAAAUGGUCUAAAUUACUUGGAUGUAGUUAUUUCCCCUUCUCUGUGUGAGUAAGUUAUUCAUUUGAAAUACAGUUCAGAUUACUUGUUUCUGUGUGAAUUUUCCAGCCUUUCCUUGGUUUUAUGAAUCCGUCUUCUGAGUAUAUAAAACAUACACAGCUGACCAUUCAUUUUGCAGAUGGCCUAGGGGGAGAUUCCUGGGAAGGUGAGUCUGCAUUUCUUCAAGGGUCUGCCCUUGUAUUGGUUAGGGUUCUCCAAAGGAAAAGAAUCAAUUAAAAAUAUAUUUAAUUAUGCAAGGGGGUUUUUAGAUAAGCUUACAGGGCCAGAAGCAGGAUGUCCACAGUGGCUGGCUGUGGGAUGGAGUGUCAGAGAAUUCUGCAGCUACUCAGUUCAGGAAGCCAAAGAACAAGAGGGAUCAAGGCCGCUACGCCAGUUGGAGACUGAAGGCCUGGAAGCUCUCUAGAGAGUCGCUGGUGGAGUCCACGUGGAGAAACUGGAGAAGCUGGAGCUUGGUGUUCACAGGUGACAGCAGUGGGAAAAGACACCCAAGCAGAACGGAGGGGAGGUUUUCAAAUGCAGGCUACUUCCUUCUCCUCUCCCUUUCAUUCCAUCAGGCUAUAAACCCAGGGUGCCACCCACAAUCACUGGGGCGGCCCCCUUGGUUUGCUGACCCACAAGCCAAUCAUCUUUGGAGAUGCCCCACUGACACGCCCAGAAGCGGUUACUAAUCUCCUAGGACUGGCUAAAUCCAGUCAAUUGCCAGAUCACAAUUAACCCACACAGCCCUUCUUCAGCAUCUCCAUCAGACCCUCCCAGCUAGUGUGGCAAUGUCUCAUUCACACCUGUCACAAGCCCCACAAUCCUACCCAUGAGAAAAACCUGUCUUUGUGCAAGUAAUUAUACUGGUUUCACUCAUAAUCACAAAAAGUAGAAGCACUAGGUGCCUGUCAACUAAUGAAUGCGGUGUCAAGUAUUCACACCAGGAAGACGACUUGGCAGUACAAAGGACACAGAGGUCUACAGCACAGAGAUAACCCCCCAAACGCUUAUG